ACUGAACGCUGGCGGCAUGCCUUACACAUGCAAGUCGAACGGUAACAGGUCUUCGGAUGCUGACGAGUGGCGAACGGGUGAGUAAUACAUCGGAACGUGCCUAGUAGUGGGGGAUAACUACUCGAAAGAGUGGCUAAUACCGCAUGAGAUCUACGGAUGAAAGCAGGGGAUCGCAAGACCUUGUGCUACUAGAGCGGCCGAUGGCAGAUUAGGGAGUUGGUGGGAUAAAAGCUUACCAAGCCGACGAUCUGUAGCUGGUCUGAGAGGACGAUCCGCCAAACUGGGACUGAGACACGGCCCAGACUCCUACGGGAGGCAGCAGUGGGGAAUUUUGGACAAUGGGCGCAAGCCUGAUCCAGCAAUGCCGCGUGCAGGAUGAAGGCCUUCGGGUUGUAAACUGCUUUUGUACGGAACGAAAAGCCCCGGGUUAAUACCCUGGGGUCAUGACGGUACCGUAAGAAUAAGCACCGGCUAACUACGUGCCAGCAGCCGCGGUAA
RNAcentral lists this ribosomal RNA (498 nucleotides) under uncultured bacterium. Its description in RNAcentral is "partial 16S ribosomal RNA". It matches the Rfam family "Bacterial small subunit ribosomal RNA", at positions 30 to 523 of the family's 1533-position model. The record is from RNAcentral.